Molecule: long non-coding RNA, 1300 nt
Organism: Rhinolophus ferrumequinum (greater horseshoe bat)
Lineage: Eukaryota; Metazoa; Chordata; Mammalia; Chiroptera; Rhinolophidae
Exons: 3
Source: RefSeq, a predicted model, not a curated record
UGGUUAAAUAGCAGAGCAGUCUUUAGUUAACCAACUUGCCAGCUUGCUGAGGCUCUCCAGGCCCAGGACACACCCAGACCGUGAAGCCAGCAGGUACUCUCCAGUUUUCCCAGAUUCCAGAGGGCUUGUCCUGCACCUUUAAUGCCUGUCAGUGAACUGGAAGGGGACAGGCAGAGUGCUGACUCCAGCCACACAGAGGGAGAGCCUGAGAGCUGGAGGGGCUUCAUGGCCGUGGGCGCAGACCCCGCCUGGGGUGGACACGUGGCUUCCCAGGCUCUCUGUGGAUGCCCCCAGGGACUCCACACACUGCAAUCAGAGCCUGACACGUUUCGAGUUGAAUUCUGGUGUAGGAGGACGGAGUUCAGAAGUACACCACCGGAUCCCUAACCGUGAGAGACUCACCGUUCCGUUUGGAAGAUAACACAUGUCUGCGUGCAUGGGACGUGAAAUAAAGAGCAACGUAAUGAUGACAGUGAUGAUGGUGGAAAUGGUGGAAAGAGCGAAGAUAAGGAUACUAUUGUGCAAUUCAUGAAGCAUGUUGAUGACCAUUAUCUAAUUUGAAAUUCACAUCUAUCAAAACUGUCCCUCCACAAUUUUCCUGAAGAAACUGAAACUGAUAACUUCUCCAAAAUCAGAUAGGAAGAAAGUAGCUGAGUUCGACUCCAGCUUCUUUCUUUUGGCCCGAAGAUAUCACAACUUUCUUCCUUCAAAUUGCAACAGAACAUUGCAAAAUGCACAUUAUCGUUCGAGAGUAACACGAGCAAUUGCCACACCAGAAGUGACUGGUAAAAGAGCUCAAAGAGCAGGCAGAUCAGGAGUCCGGUGGCUGCAGGGAUCAGAAGAGGCUUAGUGGAGAAAGAAGUAAAUGAAUUGAACCCAGAAGGUUGCAUGGCAUUUGGAUACGUGCAGGUGGAGAUGGGAGAAGGGGUGUCGUUCUUGGAGAGAGGAAAUGUGUAGGUAAGAAAGGAAGUGAGAGAGUUCAGUGUGGGUCAGGAAACAGCCAGCUGCUGCUCUGACUGGAGUGGGGGGAUGCACAGGGGAUCUGCCGGAGGAAAGGAGGGCCCGCCGGGGGUUUCUUCCAAAUGCCUGGCCCAUUUCUCUUCAUUUUGCCACGGGUUAGAGGGUCUCAACAUUUUCUCUUUGAAACCCUUGUCCCCGUUCAACCCCAAGCGCAUGUAUAAUCAAAUCAAGGAGUCAUCAAAUCAAAGGGCUGUCUAUAGUCUUAGCCCAAAGAUAGAGUCCACCACUUCCGAUUUUUUUCUUUUAAAAAUGUCAGAGUGCUUCCGAAACAGGAACAGCA